RNAcentral lists this unclassified non-coding RNA (231 nucleotides) under plant metagenome. Its description in RNAcentral is "partial contains small subunit ribosomal RNA, internal transcribed spacer 1, and 5.8S ribosomal RNA". The record is from RNAcentral.
UCUCCGUAGGUGAACCUGCGGAGGGAUCAUUAUAGAGUUCUUGCACUACAGGGUAGGUCUCCCAUCCUAUGUCAAUGUACCUUUGUUGCUUUGGCAAGCCUGCAAGGCUUGGGUCUAGCCACCGGCGUUAGCGGGUGAGAGCUUGCCAGAGGACCCUCAAACUCUGAAUGUUAGUGUCGUCUUAGUACUAUAUAAUAGUUAAAACUUUCAACAACGGAUCUCUUGGUUCUG